RNAcentral lists this ribosomal RNA (260 nucleotides) under uncultured Clostridium sp. Its description in RNAcentral is "partial 16S ribosomal RNA". It matches the Rfam family "Bacterial small subunit ribosomal RNA", at positions 495 to 754 of the family's 1533-position model. Lineage: Bacteria; Bacillati; Bacillota; Clostridia; Eubacteriales; Clostridiaceae. The record is from RNAcentral.
GGAUCAUACGUGCCAGCAGCCGUGGUAAUACGUAGGUGGCAAGCGUUGUCCGGAUUUACUUGGGCGUAAAGGGAGCGUAUGUGGAUAUUUAAGUGGGAUGUGAAAUACUCGGGCUUAACCUGGGUGCUGCAUUCCAAACUGGAUAUCUAGAGUGCAGGAGAGGAAAGGAGAAUUCCUAGUGUAGCGGUGAAAUGCGUAGAGAUUAGGAAGAAUACCAGUGGCGAAGGCGCCUUUCUGGACUGUAACUGACACUGAUGCUC